CAGUCGCCGCGGUAAUACGAAGGGGGCUAGCGUUGUUCGGAAUUACUGGGCGUAAAGCGCACGUAGGCGGAUAUUUAAGUCAGGGGUGAAAUCCCGCAGCUCAACUGCGGAGCUGCCUUUGAUACUGGGUAUCUUGAGUAUGGAAGAGGUUAGUGGAAUUGCGAGUGUAGAGGUGAAAUUCGUAGAUAUUCGCAGGAACACCAGUGGCGAAGGCGGCUAACUGGUCCAUAACUGACGCUGAGGUGCGAAAGCGUGGGGAGCAAACAGGAUUAGAUACCCCCGUAGUCCCUGUCUCUUAUAC
RNAcentral lists this ribosomal RNA (301 nucleotides) under uncultured bacterium. RNAcentral's name for it is "partial 16S ribosomal RNA". It matches the Rfam family "Bacterial small subunit ribosomal RNA", at positions 509 to 807 of the family's 1533-position model. The record is from RNAcentral.